ACCGGCGCAAGGGUGCGUAACGCGUGAGCAACAUGCCCGUAUCAGGGGGAUAAUCCAGGGAAACUUGGUCUAAUACCGCAUAAUGAUUCUGGAAGGCAUCUUUUGGGAUUUAAAAUUUCGAUGGAUACGGAUUGGCUCGCGUGACAUUAGCUGGAUGGUAGGGUAACGGCCUACCAUGGCUACGAUGUCUAGGGGUUCUGAGAGGAAGGUCCCCCACACUGGAACUGAGACACGGUCCAGACUCCUACGGGAGGCAGCAGUGAGGAAUAUUGGACAAUGGAUGGAAAUCUGAUCCAGCCAUGCCGCGUGCAGGAAGACGGCCCUAUGGGUUGUAAACUGCUUUUGUAUGGGAGCAAUAAGGUCUACGUGUAGGCCGAUGAGAGUACCAUACGAAUAAGGACCGGCUAACUCCGUGCCAGCAGCCGCGGUAAUACGGAGGGUCCGAGCAUUAUCCGGAUUUAUUGGGUUUAAAGGGUGCGUAGGCGGUUUUAUAAGUCAGCGGUGAAAUUUUCCGGCUCAACCGGGAGACUGCCGUUGAUACUGUAAGGCUAGGAUAUGGUUGCUGUGGGUGGAAUGUGUGGUGUAGCGGUGAAAUGCUUAGAGAUCACACAGAAUAUCGAUUGCGAAGGCAGCUCACAAAGCCAUUAUUGACGCUGAGGCACGAAAGCGUGGGGAUCAAACAGGAUUAGAUACCCUGGUAGUCCACACUGUAAACGAUGAUAACUCGCUGUCGGCGAUAUAAAGUCGGUGGCCAAGCGAAAGCGAUAA
This 768-nucleotide ribosomal RNA is filed under the name uncultured bacterium. Its description in RNAcentral is "bacterial SSU rRNA". It matches the Rfam family "Bacterial small subunit ribosomal RNA", at positions 94 to 863 of the family's 1533-position model. The record is from RNAcentral.